AUUUGACGUUUGUGCAAAGUCUGUCGCGCUUUUUUUUUUUCGGACAAAUUUAACUCCGCUCGAACUCGGUAACGAUCCAAGAAGAAAGAACAAUUAACGAUAGAUUGAUGUUUCAAUCCUCCCAAACUUUAUUCCAAAUCUCGUUUUGAUAUGUCGUUUAAAAGAGAGAAAGAGAGAGAAAAGGAAAGUGUACGAAGUAAAAAAAAAAAAAAUUAAAUUCGACAACAAGAAAUUUCGAUCGAUCAUUUUAACCUCGGGUAACGAGCGAUCAUAACGAUUGCAUUGGCAAGAGAGAUAAUCCACGAGAAAAUUGUAGCAUCGAUUUUCUCA
This is a long non-coding RNA of Apis florea (little honeybee), 330 nucleotides long. Lineage: Eukaryota; Metazoa; Arthropoda; Insecta; Hymenoptera; Apidae. The record is from RefSeq and is a predicted model, not a curated record.